RNAcentral lists this ribosomal RNA (718 nucleotides) under uncultured bacterium. RNAcentral describes it as "bacterial SSU rRNA". It matches the Rfam family "Bacterial small subunit ribosomal RNA", at positions 771 to 1501 of the family's 1533-position model. The record is from RNAcentral.
AACAGGAUUAGAUACCCUGGUAGUCCACGCCCUAAACGUUGAUUACUCGUUGUUGGCGAUAUACUGUCAGCGACUAAGCUAAAGCGUUAAGUAAUCCACCUGGGAAGUACGACCGCAAGGUUGAAACUCAAAGGAAUUGACGGGGGCCCGCACAAGCGGAGGAGCAUGUGGUUUAAUUCGAUGAUACGCGAGGAACCUUACCUGGGCUUGAAAGUUAGUGACCGCUCCUGAAAGGGAGCUUCUCUUCGGAGCACAAAACUAGGUGCUGCAUGGCUGUCGUCAGCUCGUGCCGUGAGGUGUUGGGUUAAGUCCCGCAACGAGCGCAACCCCUUUCUUUAGUUGCCAUCAGGUUAUGCUGGGGACUCUAAAGAUACUGCCUAUGUAAAUAGUGAGGAAGGUGGGGACGACGUCAAGUCAUCAUGGCCCUUACGUCCAGGGCUACACACGUGCUACAAUGGCAGUCACAAAUGGAUGCUACUUAGUAAUAAGAUGCUAAUCCCAAAAAGAUUGUCUCAGUUCGGAUUGAGGUCUGCAACUCGACCUCAUGAAGCUGGAUUCGCUAGUAAUCGCAUAUCAGCAAUGAUGCGGUGAAUACGUUCCCGGGCCUUGUACACACCGCCCGUCAAGCCAUGGAAGAUGGGAGCACUUGAAGUCGAUAACCGCAAGGAGUCGCCUAGGGUGAUACCGUUGACUGGGGCUAAGUCGUAACAAGGUAACC